AAUAUCUGUGCAUAAAACUUGAGACACAUCAGUGUAUAUAAUAACACUUAAACCAAGAAAGAAAAAAGUCAGAAGAAAAGAAGGAACCAACUGUUAUCACUAUUAGGUGAUAUUUUAAUGUGUGGUCACUUAUUACAAAAUGUCUUGUUUCCUGUGGCUGUGCUUCUCGCAUCCGACGUUGUGAGACACUGCUGUGAGAAAACAGUGAGAGAAACUGUAAUUGACAAAAACAUUUGACAUUCUUGUAGCUGCACAAAGAUACACUGUGUUAGGAAUAAAUUAAAUGUUUAGCAAGCAAAACAGAAACAUUUUUUCAAAAACAGCCAUAAAAUGUACUCUUAUUGUUAAACAUACAGUAACUACUCUCCUGUUCCACUUUAUAUAUUUUCAAGUGAAAUUAAAUGAAACCAUCAGGGGUUAAUGAUGAGAUCACAGGUAACAACGUUGAUGAGAACAAACAGUGAUUUUACAGAGUUAGUCAGGACUGACCAACAGCUUUGUUUUGUCUUUUUAUUUCUGUUUUUAUAGAAAUUUUUUCCAUAAAGAUGUGCAAAUAACACUGAUACAAUGUAACUAGAUUGAUCAGAUGAAACACUUUAUUACAUUUUAAUGUUUAAGGUAAAUAAACACAACUAUUGAUGUGUUAAUGAUCAUAUUUGUCAUGUUUGAAAUCAGUUUUUGUACAGCUCAUUACUGUUAAGCAUGUUUUUUUAACUGCUGUUUGAGAAGCUUCAUUGGCACUAAUAUUUUUUUCUGCUCUAUCUCUUUGAAUCUAAUAAUAGAUGAGCUGCGCUGUAGAUAGACCCUCCUCCCCAUCCUUUAAAGUCAUCAGGAAGUUGUUGUUUUUUUAACAGAGAGAACUGAAAGGUGUUGUGCUUCACUUCUCUUUGAAAAGCCUGAGGUGAGGGUCGCAGAGGUGAAGCUUGAUGCUUAAUUUUCAGUAAAUAUUGAAGGAAUUGAUUAAAAUAAUUAGCACCAGUUUGCUGUUUUGUUAUUGUGAUUCAGACACAGGUGGACUAACUCUGAAGUCAGGAGCUUGAAGCCUCAGCAUGAUGAACCGUCCACAGAAAUACAUAGAAGGUGAAGCGCUUCACUUUCAACGUGAAAAAUCAAACAAUGCGUUAAAGCUCAGAGUGGCCGUGCUGGUUGUCUGUGUUCUCCUGGUAUCGGCUCUCGUGGUAAUUUAUCUCUUGUUUGAGCUUUUGACAACCAGGGAAAUGCUCAGAAACCUUGAGCUAAAGCAGGGAACUGUACAAACCGAUGUCGCGGUAACGGAACCGUGCAGCACAAUACCAACUACAACCCUACAACCUACUGAAAUAAACAUGCUAACACAAUCGUACAGCACGAUACCGCCUACAACCCCACAACCUCCUGCUAUAACUACAGAUGAUCCAUGUUAUAAAUGUGAAGAUGGCUGGAAGCAACAUGGAGGAAAGUGCUAUUUUUUCUCCACAAGCAAAUCAUCCUGGAAUGAGAGCAGCGCUGAAUGUAUCACUAAAGGAGGAGACCUGGUUAAGAUAGACAGCAGUGAGGAGCAGAGCUUCUUGAGGAUAGCUAUUCAACAAAAAAUCGAGAGCUAUGACGACUUUUUCUGGAUCGGACUGACAGACUCAGCAGUAGAGGGCAGAUGGUUGUGGGUGGACGGCUCACCGCUGAAUGAAAGUUUGACAUUUUGGUUCUCUCAUGAGCCAGAUGAUUGGACUGGAGAAGAUCCUGGUGGAGAGGACUGUGCGAGCAUGGAGAAAACGCAUUGGUUUGAUAUUUCCUGCAAAUUAAAUCAAAAAAGCAUUUGUGAGAAACCAGCUGUGGCUCUGUGUGACUAAAUUCAGUUCAGGAAGUAAAGAUGGAAGUAGAGGACACAAUGAGGCAGUUUUUCAAAAGCUAAUGCUGCAAACUUUUAAAGCUUCCUUUCAUGAAAAGAUAUAUAUACCAUUUAAAAUGAAAUAAAUGUUAAUAAUUAGUUUGUUCCUGAUUUUUUUAAUGUGUGUAUUAUGUGCUAAAACCGCCUUUUUUUGUCGUAACUUUUAAGAAUUUACAUCAGUGUCUGACCUCACAGAGGAGUUAUAUAACUAAAGGCUAUAAAAAUACGCUUUGUUCUGUUUUAUUAAAAUAAUAUGAAAACUUUCCAGACUGUAAAUAGAUUCAAGGGAGACAAAAGACAGU
This is a long non-coding RNA of Oreochromis niloticus (Nile tilapia), 2166 nucleotides long. RefSeq annotates it as C-type lectin domain family 4 member E. The record is from RefSeq and is a predicted model, not a curated record. Lineage: Eukaryota; Metazoa; Chordata; Actinopteri; Cichliformes; Cichlidae. The transcript has 8 exons.